Molecule: long non-coding RNA, 2047 nt
Organism: Pteropus alecto (black flying fox)
Lineage: Eukaryota; Metazoa; Chordata; Mammalia; Chiroptera; Pteropodidae
Exons: 3
Source: RefSeq, a predicted model, not a curated record
UUUAAAACGCUGGACUCAUCAUGGCGGCGCGCACUCUGCCGCUUGGCGCGCGCUUCCCUGAGUGCGGGUAAGGGGCAGGACUUUCUAGUCUGCAGUCGUGCUGUCUUCGGACACCUGGUCCCUGUGCGCCGUUUAGCACCAUCUACGGGCUGGCCCUCACCGGCGAGCCCACUGACCCUGAACGACCCUCAGCUCGGCGCACCGGAAGUGCUUGGCCCUGUCCGCGUCUGUAUCCCGGAUGUGGUUCUCUUUCCCCACCCUCGGGGCGGUGCAGCUGUUUCGGAGGGCGGGCCCCGGGCCCGAAUGCCACCCAGUUUGGCAGGGCCUAUUUAUGGCUUUCAUCUACGCGUUAUUGGAAAGGCCAGACUGGGGCCUUGGGCAUCGUUCGUGCCCUCAGUCAGCCUUAGGCUUUGUGACGUUGGGCAGGUUGCAUAACCUUUCUGAACUUCCCAGGUGACUCAGCUGCCAAAACUCCCAGUCUUCCAAAAUUGCACAGCUCCUGCUGCAUAGCGUGCCCUAAACUCAGCCAUUGUUUCGUCUGGCGGCGCCCCUGGCUCUGGACGGACUUUAGAAGCUGCUUUAAAUGAGGGCCACGCCGGCUGACAUCCCCACCCAAAUUGAAAACCCUGACAAAUCUUUCCAAAAACAAUGUCUUCCCUGUUUAAUCCUAAUAACCAAGCCUGAAGGGAUCUCAGAUUUCCUGGUUGAAGAGUCUCCAGGUUCUUCUUUUAAAGGACAGAUUGAUUUCUCACCGAAGCUAUAGAAGGAGAAUCUGAAAAAAAAGCCGGACUGGCUCUGCCUUAAGCAAAACGAGGGGGUUCACUCCCCAGUGGCCUUUACUCUGGUCUUUUUCUUUCUCCCCCUUUUGGAAUGCCAGGCGCCUGGCCUCUGCCCCACAACACUGUAAGCGGGAGCCAUGGUUGCGAAGGCUGAGGGAGAGGCUUUGUUUCUAGUUCCUAGAAAUAGCCUGCAAGACCGCUGAUCCUGAAGACAUCCUGUUGCCUAAGCAUCGCACACCUAGUUACCCUGAAUCCUUUACUACCCCUAGACGUCAGUGCAGGGGAGGUGAGGUGUACAUCAGGGAGACAGCAGGACAAACUCUCUGAGCCUUCACCUUCCACUUCCCUCCAGCUCUGCUAGACUGUAGUCUGCCCACGAGGGCACGCUCCAGGAAGCGUCUUGGGAAGAAGGAAUCCCAGGCUUCACAUCGGAUCUCCUGAAGCAGAAUCUGCUUUUUUUUUUUUUAAACAGAAUCCCCACGGGCUGCUUUGUGUACUAAAGUUUGACGCUUUGGUCUAACUCGAGGGGUGAUCUGGUUUAAAGUGAUGUGGUGACAUCGAAAGUUUAAGGAGAGACAAGUCCGCAGAGCCAGAAUCAGCAGUGGUGGCCAUAGAGCUACUGGGGCCUCCUGCAUUUGGCAGUUGGGUGGACUGAUUCAGAAGAUGCGGGAAAAUGUGUCACGGGGCAGUCUGAGGGAACACCACGAUUAUGGGAUUCUUCGCUUAAAGGAGAGACAAGAGCACCUGCUAUUGCCACACUCACUGUCCUCAGAAGGUUCCUUGUGAACAGUAAAGAGAUACAGUGACGUGAGGCCAGGACGGGAUGGGCCAGUGUGGAAAUGAACGGAAGCCCUGCCCAGUGCAGAUGCAGUCAGCCGGCCGUGGCCUGGGAGGGAGUGUGGCAGCCCAAACCAGCACGUCCGCUACAGCCGGGAAACAUUCGUCGAAUUCAACGCAAGCAGCAAAUGCAGAUAAGAACAGAGCUGUGAUCUCUGGUGCAUCAGAAAGUUAGCUGCAACGUGAGAUACGUUGAGAUGACCAGUAAACGUUGUUUGGCACACAUGUCGUUCGGCGUGAGUGAGCAAUCGUUGUCCGGCAUUUUUAUUUUUCUGUGACGUGGGCUCUCUGAGGAGUUAGUGAUGGUAUGAGACUCCUGCUCACCGGCUCACGAACGUGUCACGAAUGUGUUCAUGUGACAGGUCCCUCAGCGGGAGCCUGGGACACUCGCAGUCGUGGGAAGGGUCUUACCAGCCAUGCAAUAGGGUCCG